ACCAAGGCGAUAAUGGAUAGUUGGUUUGAGAGGAUGAUCAGCCACAUUGGGACUGAGAUACGGCCCAGACUCCUACGGGAGGCAGCAGUGGGGAAUAUUGGACAAUGGACGAAAGUCCGAUCCAGCGACACCGCGUGGGGGAUGAAGGCUUUCGGGUUGUAAACCCCUUUUCUGGGGGAAGAAUAAGGUUGGGAGGAAAUGCCCAUCCGAUGACGGUACUCCAGGAAUAAGCAUCGGCAAACUUCGUGCCAGCAGCCGCGGUAAGACGAGGGAUGCAAGCGUUAUCCGGAAUUACUGGGCGUAAAGGACGUCUAGGCGGUUGGAUAAGUCAUUUGUGAAAUCCCAGGGCUUAACCCUGGAAGGUCUUGUGAUACUGUCCGGCUUGGGUGUAGGAGAGGAGAGCGGAACUCACAGAGUAGCGGUGGAAUGCGUAGAUACUGUGAGGUACCCCGAUGGCGAAGGCAGCUCUCUGGCCUAUUACCGACGCUGAAGCGUGAAAGCGUGGGGAGCAAAGGGGAUUAGAUACCCCCGUAGUCCACGCCCCAAACGAUGUUCACUUGGUGUCGGGAGCCUAUAUAUCUCGGUGCCGGAGCUAACGCGUUAAGUGAACCGCCUGAGGAGUACGGCCGCAAGGCUAAAACUCAAGAGAAUUGACGGGUCCCCGCACAAGCGGUGGAGCACGUGGUUUAAUUCGACGAUAAGCGAAGAACCUCACCUGGGCUUGACAUACUAGUGGUAGGAACCUGAAAGGGUGACGACCUUACCUUCGGGUAAGGAGCUAGUACAGGUGAUGCAUGGCUGUCGUCAGCUCGUGUCGUGGGAUGUAGGGUUAAGUCCCGAAACGAGCGCAACCCUUGUCACUAGUUGCCAGCGGAUAAUGCCGGGGACUCUAGUGAGACUGCUGGUGAAUAGCCGGAGGAAGGCGGGGAUGACGUCAAGUCAUCAUGUCCCUUAUGCCCAGGGCGACACACAUGCUACAAUGGGAGGUACAAAGGGUUGCAAUACGGCAACGUGGAGCCAAUCUCAAAAAACCUCCCCCAGUUCGGAUUGUGGUCUGCAACUCGACCACAUGAAGCCGGAAUCGCUAGUAAUCGUAGGUCAGCCAUACUACGGUGAAUAUGUACUCGGGGAUUGUACACACCGCCCGUCACACCAACCGAGUGGGGGGUACCUGAAGUCGCUCUUUUGAGGGCGCCUAAGGUAACCUUCGCAAGAGGGGUGAAGUCGUAACAAGGUA
Molecule: ribosomal RNA, 1237 nt
Filed under: metagenome
Description: bacterial SSU rRNA
Rfam family: Bacterial small subunit ribosomal RNA
Source: RNAcentral